Molecule: long non-coding RNA, 2172 nt
Organism: Centrocercus urophasianus (Greater sage-grouse)
Lineage: Eukaryota; Metazoa; Chordata; Aves; Galliformes; Phasianidae
Exons: 5
Source: RefSeq, a predicted model, not a curated record
UACAUCCAGCCAAUUUAUUUAGACUCUUCAGUCUUGAAGUUUCCUAUUCAGUAGGAUUUGAAUGGCAUUUCCUCCUACUUCAAACUUGUUCAUCAGCAUUUGGAAUCAGGGAAUGAAGCUGAUAAAUAUUUCAGUAUUGGGCCCAAGCUAUGAUUUUGAAGUUAAAUACAAUGGCAAUGAAACAGCAAAGUAGUUCUAAGGGUCAAAUUCUGGCCCUACUGGUGUUUGCUACUGAUCAACUGACAGGAAAUCUCUGAAUCUCUUCUUCUAUACAUUAAACUUGGGGUUCAUUUUUCUAGAGGACCACAAGUUGUUUUGUCAAAGCAGAUGUUGUCUUUUGCACUUGAUUGACCACUUAAUGACUCCGACUCAGCAAGAGAUUAUCCCUGGAUUGCUGCAUCUUCAGGAACUAUGAACUGAAGCCAAUGGGGCCUACAUCUCCGACUGUGCCAUGGAGCUUGCUUUUUCAGCACCAGCCCUGUGAAACUAACACAGAACAGGAUUACAGAGCUGAGCAAGUGAGGAAGGAGUCAGAGCACUGGACUCUCCAUUUACCAGCACCACAAAGAUGAUAAAACUCUACAGAAACCAGAGCCACUGUGGUUUCUGACUAGCAUGUCGUUUUCUGAGCGGUAAUCUCAACCCAACUAGAAACCCUUGAUGGCAUGCCUGUGGUUUUCACAAAGAGCUGCCCCCCAUCCCAAGAGAUGUGUGCCCUGCAGGCCUGCGGCUGGCCACAUGAGAUGCAGCAUGCUUAGCGCCUGGUGCUGCUGGUGGCUGUCACCCCUCUAACUCCUCCCAGGGAGGCAUCCAAGGAGUCUCUCUCACACAUAUUGAUCAACCACAGGCACGAGAUAACCAAAAAUGCAAAUAUUGCCUCAGUGUGGUCUUAAGUCAAUAUUUUGAGCUGCUGCCUGGCCUGUUUGAUGACAGCCAGAGGUUGGAGGUCACCUACCUGUUGAUGGUGGCACUGGGAGCACAGGAGGCAGGGUCAGCAAUCAUCCAUGCUACUGUUCAACUAGGUUUGUUUGCUGAUCGAGUCUGUCAGCUACAAAACUCAUUCCGGUCUCUCCUCUGGGAGCUUUCUCCUGAUACAGAAAGAAGGGACGUAGAAAAACCCAGUUCUUCUUACCAACAGCUCCUAUCUUUAGUUCUUCUGAAAUGUCUUUUGACCUUCUUGAAAACUUCUGGGAGAUAACGGGAAUAAAUCCAGAGGGUUUGUCACUGAACCCAAAAAGUAGUAGGAUUUGGUGCUAAACAGUACAGCUUGUGUCCACUACAUCGGAGAGAGAAGCUAUUUGUGUAAAGCUUUGCAAAGUCUGUGCUGCUGCUCUGCUCCGCAAAGGAAGCCUGGCAUCUAGUGGACGUUUUGCUGUUGCAUCACUUUCACCUUUUUGCUUAGCAGAGCUGACAGCUAGCUACCUAUAUAAAACCUAUACAGAAUUGAGCACCGAUGUCCAAUUCAUGCACACGACUGCAAGUUGUUGUGAGGUGACAAAGUCCUAACUAUUGUUCAAUGUUCGUUCUGAGUCUCAUCUGUCUGGCUGCCACUUGGAAAAAUACAUUGGAGCUGCUAUUUUAAACAGCUCUUCUAUGGGACUUGCUUUUCUGCAGUACAUUGUUUUCCAUGUUUUGUUUUGUUUUGUUUUGUUCUGUUUCCCCACACUGAAUACAAACCUGUGGGGGGAAAAAUCUUAUUUACAACGAAAUUGGUCUGAAUACCUACUCAGAAUGAGAGAAUACAAGAUAGAGUACAGAUAGAAGGUACCAUGGCAAGAACUCACAUCAGUAAGUGUCAAAUACAUUUUUGUGUUUUCAUUAGUUGUUCCAUCAAGAUGCAAGCAAUGUUGAAUUUCUUCUUUCCUUACAUUUUGAAUUUAACGUGAGCAUUUAGACUACUUCUCUUGAGCACACAUUUAAGUUUCUCUUCUCUUUCAUGUUAUUCUGAGCUUAAUGGAGGCCAAGUUGUAAGUUAUAACAACUGCUGUGUGGCACAGUUGCUUUGUUACUUGGUUUUGGUUUUUUUUUUUUUUUUUUUGAUCUGUUGCUUUCAUUUAGAGCAAUAUUUUGCUGUUAUUAUUCACGCUAAGUUAUGCAUUACUAUGUACUUAGUCCAAUUAAAAGUAAUGGGAUUAAUUCUGGAAUAAGAUAAUAUGCAGUAUUAACAGAAGG